Molecule: long non-coding RNA, 630 nt
Organism: Xenia sp. Carnegie-2017
Lineage: Eukaryota; Metazoa; Cnidaria; Anthozoa; Malacalcyonacea; Xeniidae
Exons: 2
Source: RefSeq, a predicted model, not a curated record
AAUUGCACAUUGCACACCGUUAAUUCGCGCACUGGGGUUGAAUGUUGUUGUAGUAAUGUCUGAUUUGGGGAGCAAUUUUCAAAGUUUGGCUAAGCACCUGAACAUCAGUCCAGAGAGUCCUUUGUUUAUGCACAAUCAAAGAAAGGUUUAUUUGAUGUUUGAUCCACCACAUCUGAUCAAACGUGUUAGAAAUAAUUUGAUGAAAUACACUUUCAAGUUCAACCAGUUCACAGCCAAGUGGCAGGAUAUUGUGGAUUUCUACAAUAAAGAUAAAAAGUUGUCAAUAAGAGCAGCACCUAAACUGACUGAUAAGCACAUUGCACCAAACAACUUUGCAAAGAUGAAGGUGAAAUAUGCUACCCAAGUCUUAAGCCACACAGUAGCAGCAUCCAUAUGCACAUAUGUAAGUGUUGGAUGUCUGUCGUCAUCAGCUAUGGGCACUGCAGAAUGCCUUUUGAAGUUUGAUUCUCUGUUUGAUUCUGUGAACUUGUGUUCCUGAUCACAAGAAAGAAUUACAAUCAAACUUCGACUUAAAGUAUCUGCAAGAAUAAUGGCGUCUUUACAUCAAUUUUACCCUGAAUGCGCAAAUGAAGACAUUGAAAAAGACUUAGUAAAAACGGUUGAAGUAUU